UGGAACUUUUCAAGCUGCUCUCUAUCAGGGAAACCUUGCCCUGUUUUCUUUUCCCACACUCUACCGAGUUAUCCGACAGCCAAGUGGCAUCUGUGAAAUGGGAACGUCUGACUGUAGAACAAAUAAAUGAAAGACAGCAGGUGACUACAAUUGUAAAUGGUCAUCAGUCACUGUACACAGCAGAAGCAACUGCAAGAACCAUUGUUUAAGCAAUGAGCCCUCUGCUAGAAAACAGUUGGCAGCCACUGUGCACACAUUUGGUGCACUAAGUAAAAGAAGAACAGGUAGAAGGCAUGGUCAGGGUAUUGAGCCAUCUCAGCCUUGGGCUCCUAUAGAGGUCUGGAGGGUGAGGCCGAGGCCGUAGAACAGCCUUC
Molecule: long non-coding RNA, 374 nt
Organism: Alosa sapidissima (American shad)
Lineage: Eukaryota; Metazoa; Chordata; Actinopteri; Clupeiformes; Clupeidae
Exons: 3
Source: RefSeq, a predicted model, not a curated record